GGGAUAACAGUUAGAAAUGACUGCUAAUACCGCAUAAGCGCACAGGACCGCAUGGUCCGGUGUGAAAAACUCCGGUGGUAUGAGAUGGACCCGCGUCUGAUUAGCUGGUUGGCGGGGUAACGGCCCACCAAGGCGACGAUCAGUAGCCGACCUGAGAGGGUGGCCGGCCACAUUGGGACUGAGACACGGCCCAAACUCCUACGGGAGGCAGCAGUGGGGAAUAUUGCACAAUGGGGGAAACCCUGAUGCAGCAACGCCGCGUGAGUGAAGAAGUAUUUCGGUAUGUAAAGCUCUAUCAGCAGGGAAGAAAAAAGACGGUACCUGACUAAGAAGCCCCGGCUAACUACGUGCCAGCAGCCGCGGUAAUACGUAGGGGGCAAGCGUUAUCCGGAUUUACUGGGUGUAAAGGGAGCGUAGACGGCAUAGCAAGUCUGAAGUGAAAGCCCGUGGCUCAACCGCGGAACUGCUUUGGAAACUGUUAAGCUGGAGUACUGGAGAGGCAAGCGGAAUUCCUAGUGUAGCGGUGAAAUGCGUAGAUAUUAGGAGGAACACCAGUGGCGAAGGCGGCUUGCUGGACAGAGACUGACGUUGAGGCUCGAAAGCGUGGGGAGCAAACAGGAUUAGAUACCCUGGUAGUCCACGCGGUAAACGAUGAAUGAUAGGUGUUGGCGGGCAAAGCCCGUCGGUGCCGCCG
Molecule: ribosomal RNA, 694 nt
Filed under: uncultured bacterium
Lineage: Bacteria
Description: bacterial SSU rRNA
Rfam family: Bacterial small subunit ribosomal RNA
Source: RNAcentral